UACGUAGGAGACGAGCGUUGUCCGGAGUUACUGGGCGUAAAGGGUGCGCAGGUGGCGGCGCGCGUGGGGGGUGAAAUCGCCCGGCUUAACUGGGCGGGGGCCUUCCAGACGGCGUGGCUUGAGCAGCGGAGGGGGACGUGGAAUUCCGGGUGGAGCGGUGAAAUGCGUAGAGAUGUGGAGGAACACCGAUGGCGAAGGCAGCCUUCUGGGCCAACACUGACGCUCAUGCACGAAAGCGUGGGGAGCAAACAGG
This 253-nucleotide ribosomal RNA is filed under the name uncultured bacterium. Its description in RNAcentral is "partial 16S ribosomal RNA". It matches the Rfam family "Bacterial small subunit ribosomal RNA", at positions 524 to 776 of the family's 1533-position model. The record is from RNAcentral.